CAGCAGCCGCGGGAAUACGUAGGUGGCAAGCGUUGUCCGGAAUUACUGGGCGUAAAGGGCUCGCAGGCGGUUUCUUAAGUCUGAUGUGAAAGCCCCCGGCUCAACCGGGGAGGGUCAUUGGAAACUGGGAAACUUGAGUGCAGAAGAGGAGAGUGGAAUUCCACGUGUAGCGGUGAAAUGCGUAGAGAUGUGGAGGAACACCAGUGGCGAAGGCGACUCUCUGGUCUGUAACUGACGCUGAGGAGCGAAAGCGUGGGGAGCGAACAGGAUUAGAUACCCCCGUAGUCCCUGUCUCUUAUAC
Molecule: ribosomal RNA, 301 nt
Filed under: uncultured bacterium
Lineage: Bacteria
Description: partial 16S ribosomal RNA
Rfam family: Bacterial small subunit ribosomal RNA
Source: RNAcentral